Molecule: ribosomal RNA, 419 nt
Filed under: uncultured eukaryote
Lineage: Eukaryota
Description: bacterial SSU rRNA
Rfam family: Eukaryotic small subunit ribosomal RNA
Source: RNAcentral
CAAUAGCGUAUAUUAAAGUUGUUGCGGUUAAAAGCUCGUAGUUGGAUUUCUGUUGAGGAUGGGCGGUCCGCACAUCGUGCGUGUAUCUGUUACAGCCUCGGCAUCCUCUUGAAGAACGAACUGUGAUUUAUUUCGUGGUUCGGAAUUCAAGACUUUUACUUUGAGGAAAUUAGAGUGUUCACGGCAAGCAAUCGCUUUGAAUACAUUAGCAUGGAAUAAUAAUAUAGGACCUUGGUUCUAUUUUGUUGGUUUCUAGGACCGAAGUAAUGAUUAAUAGGGACAGUGGGGGCAUUCAUAUUCCAAUGUCAGAGGUGAAAUUCUUGGAUUAUCGGAAGAUGAACUUCUGCGAAAGCAUCUGCCAAGGAUGUUUUCAUUGAUCAAGAACGAAAGUUAGGGGAUCGAAGACGAUCAGAUACCAU